AGAGUUUGAUCCUGGCUCAGAUUGAACGCUGGCGGCAGGCCUAACACAUGCAAGUCGAGCGGUAACAGAGAGAAAGCUUGCUUUCUUUGCUGACGAGCGGCGGACGGGUGAGUAAUGCCUGGGAAUAUGCCUUGAUGUGGGGGAUAACCAUUGGAAACGAUGGCUAAUACCGCAUAAUGCCUACGGGCCAAAGAGGGGGAUCUUCGGACCUCUCGCGUCAAGAUUAGCCCAGGUGGGAUUAGCUAGUUGGUGAGGUAAUGGCUCACCAAGGCGACGAUCCCUAGCUGGUCUGAGAGGAUGAUCAGCCACACUGGAACUGAGACACGGUCCAGACUCCUACGGGAGGCAGCAGUGGGGAAUAUUGCACAAUGGGCGCAAGCCUGAUGCAGCCAUGCCGCGUGUGUGAAGAAGGCCUUCGGGUUGUAAAGCACUUUCAGUCGUGAGGAAGGUAGUUGCGUUAAUAGCGUAAUUAUUUGACGUUAGCGACAGAAGAAGCACCGGCUAACUCCGUGCCAGCCGCCGCGGUAAUAC
RNAcentral lists this ribosomal RNA (531 nucleotides) under Vibrio sp. IUET-AK25. RNAcentral's name for it is "bacterial SSU rRNA". It matches the Rfam family "Bacterial small subunit ribosomal RNA", at positions 8 to 526 of the family's 1533-position model. The record is from RNAcentral. Lineage: Bacteria; Pseudomonadati; Pseudomonadota; Gammaproteobacteria; Vibrionales; Vibrionaceae.